Molecule: unclassified non-coding RNA, 314 nt
Filed under: plant metagenome
Description: partial contains 5.8S ribosomal RNA, internal transcribed spacer 2, and large subunit ribosomal RNA
Rfam family: 5.8S ribosomal RNA (bases 1-105)
Source: RNAcentral
GAAAUGCGAUAAUUAAUGUGAAUUGCAGAAUUCAGUGAAUCAUCGAGUCUUUGAACGCACAUUGCGCCCCCUGGUAUUCCGGGGGGCAUGCCUGUCCGAGCGUCAUUGCUGCCCUCAAGCACGGCUUGUGUGUUGGGCUUCCGUCCCUGGCAACGGGGACGGGCCCAAAAGGCAGUGGCGGCACAAUGUCUGGUCCUCGAGCGUAUGGGGCUUUGUCACCCGCUCCCGUAGGUCCAGCUGGCAGCUGGCCUCGCAACCAAUCUUUUUAACCAGGUUGACCUCGGAUCAGGUAGGGAUACCCGCUGAACUUAAGC